RNAcentral lists this unclassified non-coding RNA (221 nucleotides) under uncultured Actinomycetes bacterium. RNAcentral's name for it is "uncultured actinobacterium contains 16S-23S intergenic spacer region". The record is from RNAcentral. Lineage: Bacteria; Bacillati; Actinomycetota; Actinomycetes.
UCCGGUUUGGCACCGGCAGUCUCCCUAGAGUUCCCGGCAUGACCCGCUGGCAACUAAGGACAGGGGUUGCGCUCGUUGCGCCACUUAAGGCAACACCUCACGGCACGAGCUGACGACAGCCAUGCACCACCUGUGCAGGCUCCGAAGAGCGCCCGCUUUCACGGGUUUCACCCUGCAUGUCAAGCCCAGGUAAGGUGGGGAUGACGUCACUUACAGCGUAC